AUGUAUAACCUUCCUCCUUGGAUGUGCAUGAAGCGGAAGUCCAUUAUGAUGCCAGUUCUCAUCCAAGGCCCUAACCAACCCGACAACGACAUUGAUGUGUACCUAAGGCCAUUAGUUGAAGAACUUUUACAGCUGUGGAAUGGAAACGGUGUACGUACGUGGGAUGAUCACGAACAGGAGGAAUUUAACCUAAAGGCGUUGCUGUUCGUGACCAUCAAUGAUUGGCCCACUCUCAGUAACCUUUCAGGACAGACAAAGAAAGGAUACCACGCAUGCAUGCACUGUUUAGAUGACACUGAAAGUAUAUACCUGGACAAAUGCAGGAAGAAUGUGUACCUGGGCCAUCAUCGAUUUCUUUCGACCAACCAUCAAUGUCGAAAGAAAGGCAAGCAUUUCAAAGGCGAGACAGAUCAGCGGAAGAAGCCCGCCAUGCGUACCGGUGAUCACGUACUUGCUAUGGUCAAUUAUUUACACGUAAUCUUUGGAAAGGGUCCUGGCGGACUAGCUGUUCCGAAUGACGCCGAGGGAUACGCACCCAUGUGGAAGAAAUCCAUAUUUUGGGACCUACCCUACUGGAAAGACCUAGAGGUCCGCUCUUCAAUCGAUGUCAUGCACGUGACGAAGAACCUUUGCGUGAACCUGCUAGGCUACUUGGACGUGUACGGGAAGACAAAAGAUACACCUAAGGCACGGGAGGACAUGCAACGUUUGCACGAAAAAGACGGCAUGCCUCCAAAGUAG
This 741-nucleotide ribosomal RNA is filed under the name Triticum aestivum (bread wheat). RNAcentral's name for it is "partial small subunit ribosomal RNA". The record is from RNAcentral. Lineage: Eukaryota; Viridiplantae; Streptophyta; Magnoliopsida; Poales; Poaceae.